UAAUACGAACUGUGCGAACGUUAUUCGGAAUCACUGGGCUUAAAGGGUGCGUAGGCGGGUUUGAAGGUCUGAUGUGAAAGCCCACGGCUCAACCGUGGAAUUGCGUUGGAAACCACAAGCCUUGAGGAGAUCAGAGGUGAGCGGAACUGAUGGUGGAGCGGUGAAAUGCGUUGAUAUCAUCAGGAACACCGGUGGCGAAAGCGGCUCACUGGGAUCUUUCUGACGCUGAGGCACGAAAGCUAGGGGAGCGAACGGGAUUAGAUACCCCGGUAGUCCUAGCUGUAAACGAUCAGUACUAGUCCGUGGGGACUCCCACAUCCUCUCGGACGUAGCGAAAGUGUUAAGUACUGCGCCUGGGGAGUAUGGUCGCAAGGCUGAAACUCAAAGGAAUUGACGGGGGCUCACACAAGCGGUGGAGGAUGUGGCUUAAUUCGAGGAUACGCGAAGAACCUUACCUAGACUUAACAUGUUUGGGAACGCCUGUGAAAGCAGGAAGUGCCUUUCGGGGAACCCUUACGUAGGUGCUGCAUGGCUGUCGUCAGCUCGUGUCGUGAGAUGUCGGGUUAAGUCCCUUAACGAGCGAAACCCUUGUCCUUAGUUGCCAGCGAGUAAUGUCGGGGACUCUAAGGGACUGCCGGUGUUAAACCGGGGGAAGGUGGGGAUGACGUCAAGUCCUCAUGGCCUUUAUGUCUAGGGCUGCACACGUCCUACAAUGCACUAUACAAAGCGAUGCGAAACCGUGAGGUCAAGCAAACCGCAAAAAGUAGUGCCUAGUUCGGAUUGCAGGCUGAAAUUCGCCUGCAUGAAGCCGGAAUCGCUAGUAAUCGCGGUCAGCAUACCUGCGAUGAUUGUGUUCCUGGACCAUGUACACACCGCCCAGUCAGCCACGAAAGUUGGGCGUGGCCGAGUCCGCGGAUGCUACUCGUGAGGGCUAGCGCCGAGUCACCUCGAUGAUGGUACUAAGUCGUA
RNAcentral lists this ribosomal RNA (969 nucleotides) under uncultured bacterium. Its description in RNAcentral is "bacterial SSU rRNA". It matches the Rfam family "Bacterial small subunit ribosomal RNA", at positions 521 to 1490 of the family's 1533-position model. The record is from RNAcentral.